CCAUGAAAAAUAACAAACAGGUAUACUUAUGAUAAAUAAAUGAUAAAAUCUCAAACUGAUAUACUAUUAAUUAUCACGUGUGACGAUAACAUUUAAUGAAAAUUAAUAUAAAGUAAAUUUGUCAUAAAUAUAUUAGUUUGGAUUUGAAGUAAAUUUAUUGUAUGUAUUAGUUGGUGUAUUUCAUAAUCUUAACCUGUUAUAUUUACUUCUUUUGACUUGUUUUUGUGCAACUCUUUAUCUUCUCCGUUCCUCUAUUGAAACCAAGAGGAAAUAUUGGAUGCUCAAGCCAAUGCCAAUGCUCCAAGUCAUCUGGACCUUGUGGGGGAAGCCCGACGAAAUAUGAGUCGUCCUGAAUCUCCACAUCAGACCUUGCUCCACCCCACCUUUGCUUAUAAAUCAUACCUAUACCAAUAAAAUAAAUAAAUAAAAAUAGAUGGACCGUCUUCUCACGUCAUCAUCUUGACAUUCCAUUAAUCGGAUGCCACGUGUCCAAGUAGAACCUAUAUUGGCCCACUCAUCAGUCUCGUCUCUCCCCCCACCUUCAACUCCCCGGGCUCCCUCUCCUUGAGCUUUGCGACCACCAUAACCUCUUUGAACUCAUCGCCCAUCACCCCGUUCUCUGAGCCCCAGGCCUGCCAUUUCGUCAAACAGCUCCUCUCCGCCGUCUCACUGCCACUCGCAACGUGAUGUCCGACAAGGUCCUACUCGAGUUGCGCGACAACCUGAAGCUUGCCGACCAUGGGCGGCGAUCCGGCUUGGCGGCGAGGGUAGAGCAACGGCGGAGGGCGUGGUGGAACCGCCAUCCAAUGAGAAAGAAAUCAACGUGCCCAUCAAAAUCUCCUUUUCAAUUCCACAAACACCUGAAAUCAUAAAGAAAUACCAGAUUUUUCUCACCAACUCAGGCCAGGGUGAGGUCAGGGUGGUUGGUGGUGGGGGCUUUGUGGGCAUGGCUAUUGACAUUGGCAAUGGCCGCCUGAACUGAAGAAAGGAAAAAGAAGAGAGAGAAAGGAAGAAGGAAAAGAGAGAUACAAGUUGCGGAAGAAAGAAGCAAGAGAGUGACAAUUGAGGCUAAUCUGAGUAUACGGCGAUCAAUGAAUGGAGUGGAGCGUGCCUGACGUGGAGAUCCAAGCUCACCUAAUAUUUUGUCGGGAGAGUCUAGUCAAUAGAUUUGAACGCAAGGUUCGCGUCUUUCUUUAAAAUAGUUCAUGAAUUUAUAUUUUUUUUUGUUUAUGGUUAGCAAAGUUUUAUUAUUUAUUUGUGGUCCCUCAAAGGUAGAUAAUGACUAACACUGUAUAUAUUUGUGCACAUUUGAUGGGAAAAUUAUGGAAAUAGUUUUAAAUUUAUUAUAAUUUUUCCAAUUCAGUCAUAAAUCUUUUUUUUUUCAAUUUAGUCUUAAAUAUUCUAUAAUUAUAUCAAUACAAUCUAUCCAGCCAAUUUUAACCGCUAGUGUUAAUGCGAAUAUUUUUUAAUAAUAUUUUUUCGAACUUUUAUUAAUUUUUUUUCUUUUUUCUCUCCUUCUUCCUCUUUCCUCUUAUCAAAGGCAAGUGUUGAGGCUUGCCCCUGUCGGCCUCUGGUGAGGGCAAGCCUUGCCUAGUAAUAGCGACGUCGCAACCUGUCCAUAGUCGGCAAGGCUCAACUAGGCUAGAGACCACACAAGGUUGUGAGCUAUGGCAAGGUCGGGCAUCGCCCAUGGCCAGCGAGGCUUAACCCUCGCUAGAUCUAACAAGGACGAGCCUUGCCCAACCACUAGUAACCCUUGCC
This 1761-nucleotide long non-coding RNA is filed under the name Eucalyptus grandis. Its description in RNAcentral is "long non-coding RNA (EGRA_LNC004313)". Lineage: Eukaryota; Viridiplantae; Streptophyta; Magnoliopsida; Myrtales; Myrtaceae. The record is from RNAcentral.